AAAAUGGAGAGUUUGAUCCUGGCUCAGGAUAAACGCUGGCGGUAUGCUUAACACAUGCAAGUCGAACGGUCUUUUCGGAGAUAGUGGCGGACGGGUGAGUAACGCGUAAGAAUCUACCUUCAGGUUGGGGACAACCACUGGAAACGGUGGCUAAUACC
RNAcentral lists this ribosomal RNA (158 nucleotides) under Dolichospermum sp. LEGE 00246. RNAcentral's name for it is "partial 16S ribosomal RNA". It matches the Rfam family "Bacterial small subunit ribosomal RNA", at positions 1 to 170 of the family's 1533-position model. Lineage: Bacteria; Bacillati; Cyanobacteriota; Cyanophyceae; Nostocales; Aphanizomenonaceae. The record is from RNAcentral.